This 879-nucleotide ribosomal RNA is filed under the name uncultured bacterium. RNAcentral's name for it is "bacterial SSU rRNA". It matches the Rfam family "Bacterial small subunit ribosomal RNA", at positions 8 to 916 of the family's 1533-position model. The record is from RNAcentral.
AGAGUUUGAUCCUGGCUCAGGAUGAACGCUGGCGGCGUGCCUAACACAUGCAAGUCGAGCGAUUCUCUUCGGAGAAGAGCGGCGGACGGGUGAGUAACGCGUGGGUAACCUGCCCUGUACACACGGAUAACAUACCGAAAGGUAUGCUAAUACGAGAUAAUAUGCUUUUAUCGCAUGGUAGAAGUAUCAAAGCUUUUGCGGUACAGGAUGGACCCGCGUCUGAUUAGCUAGUUGGUAAGGUAACGGCUUACCAAGGCGACGAUCAGUAGCCGACCUGAGAGGGUGAUCGGCCACAUUGGAACUGAGACACGGUCCAAACUCCUACGGGAGGCAGCAGUGGGGAAUAUUGCACAAUGGGCGAAAGCCUGAUGCAGCAACGCCGCGUGAGCGAUGAAGGCCUUCGGGUCGUAAAGCUCUGUCCUCAAGGAAGAUAAUGACGGUACUUGAGGAGGAAGCCCCGGCUAACUACGUGCCAGCAGCCGCGGUAAUACGUAGGGGGCUAGCGUUAUCCGGAAUUACUGGGCGUAAAGGGUGCGUAGGUGGUUUCUUAAGUCAGAGGUGAAAGGCUACGGCUCAACCGUAGUAAGCCUUUGAAACUGGGAAACUUGAGUGCAGGAGAGGAGAGUGGAAUUCCUAGUGUAGCGGUGAAAUGCGUAGAUAUUAGGAGGAACACCAGUUGCGAAGGCGGCUCUCUGGACUGUAACUGACACUGAGGCACGAAAGCGUGGGGAGCAAACAGGAUUAGAUACCCUGGUAGUCCACGCCGUAAACGAUGAGUACUAGCUGUCGGAGGUUACCCCCUUCGGUGGCGCAGCUAACGCAUUAAGUACUCCGCCUGGGAAGUACACUCGCAAGAGUGAAACUCAAAGGAAUUGACGG